AGCAUAGAAGAGAUGGUGAUUGUG
Molecule: non-coding RNA, 24 nt
Filed under: Arabidopsis thaliana (thale cress)
Lineage: Eukaryota; Viridiplantae; Streptophyta; Magnoliopsida; Brassicales; Brassicaceae
Source: RNAcentral